This 1685-nucleotide long non-coding RNA is filed under the name Nicotiana tabacum (common tobacco). RNAcentral describes it as "long non-coding RNA (NTAB_LNC004874)". Lineage: Eukaryota; Viridiplantae; Streptophyta; Magnoliopsida; Solanales; Solanaceae. The record is from RNAcentral.
UCUUUUCCAUCACUAAAUCAACGGUAACGAAAGUUAGGGCAAGGAGCGAGAAACCAAUUUUGAAUUAACGUUUCCGCUUCACGAUGAUGGCUUACGAUUCAUGUAUAUUUUCUGCAACGAUUUUGUGUAAGAUUAUCAUGUUCAAGAUCCUGAUAUGCAAUUAACGUUCAUGUUUACAAUGAAUUCCUUAUUUAAUGUUCCAACGGCUUGUGGAGUUCUCAAGCUACUAAUACCACUUUAAAACAUGAUUCUAAAAGAACAAGAAUUAAACAAAUAUGCAAGCAUGUAAGAGUCAUGCAAUCCUACUAAUUCUUGCAUACUGAAGAGAUCGUUAAUCACUCUUUUAACAAAUCCUGCUGGCAUUUGAAGGUGAGCACUACAUUGAAGCUUAUUUUACUUGACUGGAAAACCUUGAAGAAGAGCGAGACCUUGAGGGAAAAAAAAUUUUUAAUAGGAUAUCCAGCCAAUUUAAACAAGGGUGAGGAACGAAAAUAAAGACAAGAAUAAAAGGAACCAAGCUAACAUUUCUCGCUAGAGUGAUCAAUCAACAGUCAACAUAUACCAAAGGUUCUGGGUUCGAACCCUAGGAGUAAAAAAAUCAUGAUGGGGAGCGCUUUCCUUUUUAAUGAGCUUUACACAGCGCGACCUCAAAUUAAUCGGGGAUUCCAAAAUGGAUACUGAACACCAUGAGGAAAACCAAAAAAAAAAAAAUCAACUUAUAGGAGUAACUUUUUUUUUAAUAGUAUUUCACAAUUCAUGCUGCCAACAAUCUCCAACAACUAAACAGAACUUUUAACAAAAAGCACAGUGGAGUUGAAUGCGGCUACAAUUAUUUUGAAUCUAAACGACGAACAACGAGCGCUCAGAAAUCACAAUAUUAAAACAGCUUUUGCAUUUUUCCACCCUUGCAGUUUAUAGUACGUUCACAAAAAAAAAAAAAAAAAUAAAAAAAAAAAAAAAAAAAAAAAAAAAAAAAACAAAAAGACUUGGAGGAAAUGAGAAGCCUCCUUUGGUUACAAGAAUAAGCGAGAUUCAUAGUCAGUGGAAAAUUUAAUUUACCUUUAAAAAUAUGAAAAAUCCAUCAAUCAGUAAUGCGACUUGUAGAAGACUACCUGGCUACCUAUAUGGGAGUUGUGGUAAUAGAUAAAGGGGGUUCGGCAAAGGUGAAAAGAAGGGGAAUUCUUGUAUUAAACAAAUACCAGUACAUGAUAAAUCUCACCUUAGAGUGCACGCUCGCCUUUUACACGGGACUCCUGGAUCACUAUGGUGGGCAUGGAUUUUAGGUUUAGAGCCAGUAAUAUGGAGAAAUCCGAAGAGAUCGCAUGAUCCCAUUGGACUCAAAUUGGGACACAGGAUCAAUGCGAUCCCUUUGGAAUACUCCACCAGCGCUAUGAAAUUGCAUAUAUAUUCACGUUAAAAGCUGGCCAACUAUAAUUUAUCGGGCACUUCAGUGGGAGUACUGAUAUAUGAUUCCAUCUGGUGAGGUUUUAUAUUUAUAGGAUUUUUGGAAACAAAGGAGAAUGCACGAACCUCGUGCAACCCUUUUGUUUGAAUGUUACUGUUCAUGCAAUUUUUGUGUGUUGUGGAAUCUAAGGUUGUUAGGCUAUUUUGGUAUCAACCCAUGUUCCUCUUCAUCUAAUCUGCUGCCUGUUACCUAUUUGGCCCUUGUGGAACAACCCAAACAG